Molecule: RNA transcript, 1591 nt
Organism: Carya illinoinensis
Lineage: Eukaryota; Viridiplantae; Streptophyta; Magnoliopsida; Fagales; Juglandaceae
Gene name: serine/arginine-rich splicing factor SC35-like
Exons: 10
Source: RefSeq, a predicted model, not a curated record
GAAAAGGUAACAUGAACUCUUUUCCCAUGUAAAAUUUUUCUGGGUCUCAAAUUCAAAACCCUAACGUAAUCUACUAGCCCGUCAGAUUCGUCUGUUCGAGUCUCGCAUUUGGAUUUGCAGUUGCAGUUGCAGAGCUGCGAGAUGUCGCACUUUGGGAGAGCAGGCCCUCCUGACAUCAGAGACACCUUCUCCCUACUCGUCCUCAACAUCACUUUCCGAACAACCGCUGAUGAUCUUUUUCCUCUCUUCGAUAAGUACGGCAAGGUCGUCGACGUAUUUAUUCCCCGAGACCGAAGGACCGGAGAGUCGCGAGGUUUCGCAUUUGUUCGAUACAAGUAUGCGGACGAGGCACAGAAAGCGGUGGAGAAACUCGAUGGGAAAAUUGUCGAUGGCAGAGAGAUUAUGGUCCAGUUUGCCAAGUACGGCCCAAAUGCCGAGCGAAUCCACAAGGGAAGGAUAAUAGAGACAACUUCAAAGACAAGUGGGAGGUCAAGAAGUCGUAGCCCUCGUCCUAGGUAUCGGGAUGAAAACAGGGACAGGGAUUAUAGAAGGAGAAGUCGCAGCAGAAGUAGGGAGCGAUAUGAUCAUGACAGGUACCGCAGGAGGGAAAGGGAUCGUCGUCGCCGUAGCAGGAGCCGUAGUGCAAGUCCUGAUCAUCACAAAGAUCGUUGGAGAGGCAGACAUGAAGAUGACCGGCGAAGUCGAAGCCGUUCCAAUGAUAGUGCUUCCCCUGCUGGGUGCAGUCCUCAUCCUCGGAGGACUCUAUCUCCACGUAGGACACCUGGUGUUGACAGUCCUGAUGCCCAGACUAGUAAUGGAGCUUCUGUUCCAAAAACUGUUUUGCCACAUACCCGUGUUGAUUCUCAAAGCCCAACUCCACAAAGAUCUGAUGCUGAUGAAUGAAGGAGCAACAUAAGAUGUGGAGAUAUCUUUGGCUUGAAGCAUUAUCUCUGCUUUGAUCUUGGAAAGGGCAUGUUAUGUUAAGCAUGCUCGGAUCAACACCCUGAUUGCUAGGUUUUAUUGGCAUGAACCUUUUGGAGGUUGAACAUUAGCUUGUUGGAUCCAAUUCCUUCCUUGACUCCAGUUUGAUGGUAGUUCAUGUAAUCUGAUAUCUAUAGUUGUGUACGGGAAGGGUGAAUUUUGCUGUUUGCUGAGAUGUGCUAGCUGUGGUGCUGAUUUUGGUUCACAGAUGGUGGAUAUCAUGUUCAUGCUGUUUGCAAUCCACUGUCUCCUACCAUUUUCUUUUUGAUAAUGUCAUGAGUGUUUUGGCCUACCAAGGAAUUUGAGUAGCUGUGGUUGCCUAAAGAUGGAUCCGAUUCGAAUGCAUUUACAUGUAGCUGGCUCAGGUUCAUAUGAAUGCUCCUUGAUUACUUCUUGGUCUAAAGUUUCAAGUAGCUCUUUGUGGCAAUGACUGCAUUGAUAGGAAUGGGUUCGUGUUGGUGAAUGCAGCCUGUGGUGCAGUAUUAUUAUAGUUAGAUAUUGUCAUUAGGACAUGUUCAUACAUGUGAAUGAUUCUCUUUUCCCAAUGCUUUGUAUUUUUUUCUAAAUGGUUCUACUUCCUACAAUAGCUCAUACUCAUAGUUGUUCUGUU